GACAGAGGAUGCAAACGUUGCUCGGAAUUACUGGGCGUAAAGCGCGCGCAGGUGGCUUGGUAAGUCGGGUGUGAAAUCCCGGGCUCAACCCUCGGACGUGCACACGAUACUGCCGGGCUCGAGUACUGGAGAGGAGAGCGGAAUUCCCGGUGUAGAGGUGAAAUUCGUAGAUAUCGGGAGGAACACCAGUGGCGAAGGCGGCUCUCUGGGACAGAUACUGACACUGAGGCGCGAAAGCGAUGGGAAGCAAACAGG
This 255-nucleotide ribosomal RNA is filed under the name uncultured bacterium. Its description in RNAcentral is "partial 16S ribosomal RNA". It matches the Rfam family "Bacterial small subunit ribosomal RNA", at positions 524 to 776 of the family's 1533-position model. The record is from RNAcentral.